Molecule: ribosomal RNA, 185 nt
Filed under: Escherichia coli
Lineage: Bacteria; Pseudomonadati; Pseudomonadota; Gammaproteobacteria; Enterobacterales; Enterobacteriaceae
Description: partial 23S ribosomal RNA
Rfam family: Bacterial large subunit ribosomal RNA
Source: RNAcentral
GGUUAAGCGACUAAGCGUACACGGUGGAUGCCCUGGCAGUCAGAGGCGAUGAAGGACGUGCUAAUCUGCGAUAAGCGUCGGUGAGGUGAUAUGAACCGUUAUAACCGGCGAUUUCCGAAUGGGGAAACCCAGUGUGUUUCGACACACUAUCAUUAACUGAAUCCAUAGGUUAAUGAGGCGAACCG